This 514-nucleotide ribosomal RNA is filed under the name uncultured bacterium. Its description in RNAcentral is "partial 16S ribosomal RNA". It matches the Rfam family "Bacterial small subunit ribosomal RNA", at positions 28 to 523 of the family's 1533-position model. The record is from RNAcentral.
GAUGAACGCUGGCGGCGUGCCUAAUACAUGCAAGUCGAGCGAACAGAUGAGAAGCUUGCUUCUCUGAUGUUAGCGGCGGACGGGUGAGUAACACGUGGGUAACCUACCUAUAAGACUGGGAUAACUCCGGGAAACCGGGGCUAAUACCGGAUAAUAUUUUGAACCGCAUGGUUCAAUAGUGAAAGGCGGUUUCGGCUGUCACUUAUAGAUGGACCCGCGCCGUAUUAGCUAGUUGGUAAGGUAACGGCUUACCAAGGCGACGAUCCGUAGCCGACCUGGGAGGGUGAUCGGCCACACUGGAACUGAGACACGGUCCAGACUCCUACGGGAGGCAGCAGUAGGGAAUCUUCCGCAAUGGGCGAAGGCCUGACGGAGCAACGCCGCGUGAGUGAUGAGGGUCUUCGGAUCGUAAAACUCUGUUGUUAGGGAAGAACAAAUUUGUUAGUAACUGAACAAGUCUUGACGGUACCUAACCAGAAAGCCACGGCUAACUACGUGCCAGCAGCCGCCGUAA